This 266-nucleotide ribosomal RNA is filed under the name uncultured Staphylococcus sp. RNAcentral's name for it is "partial 16S ribosomal RNA". It matches the Rfam family "Bacterial small subunit ribosomal RNA", at positions 96 to 355 of the family's 1533-position model. The record is from RNAcentral. Lineage: Bacteria; Bacillati; Bacillota; Bacilli; Caryophanales; Staphylococcaceae.
CGGCGGACGGGUGAGUAACACGUGGGUAACCUACCUAUAAGACUGGGAUAACUUCGGGAAACCGGAGCUAAUACCGGAUAAUAUUUCGAACCGCAUGGUUCGAUAGUGAAAGAUGGUUUUGCUAUCACUUAUAGAUGGACCUGCGCCGUAUCAGCUAGUUGGUAAGGUAACGGCUUACCAAGGCGACGAUACGUAGCCGACCUGAGAGGGUGAUCGGCCACACUGGAACUGAGACACGGUCCAGACUCCUACGGGAGGCAGCAGUA